Molecule: long non-coding RNA, 2730 nt
Organism: Bos grunniens (domestic yak)
Lineage: Eukaryota; Metazoa; Chordata; Mammalia; Artiodactyla; Bovidae
Source: Ensembl
CAGGAGUGAUAUACUGAUUAAACAGCAGACUUUAUUAAAGGAAAAUGAAAGAUCUGAAAUAAAGUAAUAGGUGAGGAAACAAAACUGAAAGUCUUUGGGAAAGAAGUUUUAACAGCGAGAGGUGAGGACUGACAGAGGAGAAAGAGAAAACAAGAAAAUUCUUCCCAGACUAAUUUGAGCAUAAGUUGAUCAUGACAUCAGUUCAGUGCAGUUCAGUUUCUCAGUCGUGUCCGACUCUUUGCGAUCCCAUGGACCGCAGCACACCAAGCCUCCCUGUCCAUCACCAACUCCCGGAGUUUACUCAAACUCAUGUCCAUUGAGUCAGUGAUGCCACCCAACCAUCUCAUCCUCUGGUGUCCCCUUCUCCUGCCUUCAAUAUUUCCCAGCAUCAGGGUCUUUUCCAAUGAGUCAGUUCUUCACAUCAGGUGGCCAGAGUAUUGGAGUUUCAGCUUCAGCAUCAGCCCUUCCAAGGAAUAGUAAGGACUGAUCUCCUCUAGAAUGGACUGGUUGGAUCUCCUUGCAGUCCAAGGGACUCUCAAGAGUCUUCUCCAACACCACAGUUCAAAAGCAUUAAUGCUUUGCUGUUGCUGUCUUGAAAUUUUUAAUCACAUUUUAACAAGGAGCUACACAUUUCCAUUUGCCUGAGGUCCCGGAGGUGGGUACCAGGAGGAGUGAAGCAUCUGGGAUUUCACCUCAACCAGUGUUUGCUGGGGGGUUUCCUGGGUGGCUCAGUGAUAAAGAAUCCACCUGCCAAAGCAGGAGCUGCAGGAGCUGCAGAUGCAAUCCUUGAGUCAAGAAGAUCCCCUAGAGGAGGAAAUGACAAGCCACUCCAGCAUUCUUGCCUGGAGAAUCCCAUGGACAGAGGAGCCUGGAGGACUACAGUCCAUGGGGUUGCAAAGUUGGACACGACUGAGAGACUGAGCACAGGACACACAGCUCUUGUGUGCCAGGCAGUGCUGUGGAAGAGCCUGCUAUUUGUCUAGCUCACCAGAGUUGAGCCCAGUGUGUGGUAAGAGCAGUCAUUCAAUAUCUUCAUGGACUUUACACCCCUUCACAUAAAGUCAGUCUUUCACUGGUACUGGACUAUUGAGAACCUGAAAGGUUGAUCUCGUCUCAAUCAAGAACACGACAUGCCUGUACUUUGCUGUUUUUCCCAGUAGUCAUGUAUGUGAGAGUUGGAAUGUAAAGAAAGCUGAGUGCUGAAGAAUUGAUGCUUUUGAACUGUGGUGUUGGAGAAGACUCUUGAGUCCCUUGGACUGCAAGGAGAUCAAAUCAGUCCAUCCUAAAGGAAAUCAGCCCUGAAUAUUCACUGGAGGGACUGAUGCUGAAGCUGAAUACUUUGGCCAUGUGAUGCGAUGAACUGACUCAUUUGAAAAUACCGUGAUGCUAGAAAAAAUUAAAGACAGGAGAAGGGGACGACAGAGGAUGAGAUGGUUGGAGGGCAUCACUGACUCAAUGGAUAUGAGUUUGAGUAAGCUCCAGGAGUUGGUGAUGGACAUGGAGGCCUGGUGUGCUGCAGUCCAUGGGGUCACAAAGAGUCAGACAGGACUGAGCGACUGAACUGAACUGACCUGAACUGAACUUUAAUCUCAUUAGUAAAUUACAUCUUGUCCUGGCUGCCAUCCAUUCCCAUUGAAAAGACAGCUAAAAAAUUAUAUUUGAAAGACAGUGCCUAAGGCAAUGUUUUCUAACUUGAAUUAUUCUAUAAACUUGCCAACUUUCCAAAUUUUUACAUGGACACAAUGAUUUAGGCAAAAGGGGGAACAGGAGAGAAGCAAUCAAGUUACUGAGGAUGGGGCUGAGGGGAAGCAACCAUUUUGUAGCAAGAGUGUUCUUGCCAGAGUUGGAUUUGAGUUUGGGAAUUAGGUUCAAGACAGCUAUUCUUAACUAUAGACAGACAGACUGGGUUCUACGUAGGCUGUGAGAUGUAUCAUUGGUCAUUUACUGCUAGUAAGAAAUAACUGGAAUAUAUGAAUAUAACUUUGAUAUAAACUAAAGACUGGAGGUCAAUAUUGUAGCUCUCACUCACACGUUUUUAAAUUCUUUCUUAUAUGGUAGAGAAAGGACAGGUGAUUUAGCAACACAUCUACACAUGCAUUUCUCCGGCAAUGGAAAUGCAUCACCCUUGUUAAAAAACAUCCUUUCUGUGGUUGUGGCAAAAAGUGGUAAAGGAUUUCUGGCAUAGAAAAUAUAUUUACUGUGUUAUUCUCUCAGGCUAUAUCUAUACUUUUAUCGAGUUAAGACACCAGAGGGAAACAAUAUAAAUGACAUUAAUUUCCCUUGGUGAAAAUAUUUCUACAAUGUAUAUGAAGCCUUUUGCUUUCAUAAGGGGUAAUAACAAUGUUGUUGUCUUAUAAAAUACAUUAAUUUUAGAUUGGGUAUUUUUAUGAUUCCACUUUAGCUCUUUUGUUGGUUUAAUAUAUAGCUGUGACUAUUUUGCUACUUGAGUGGUUGUUUUAGGGUUUACAGCAUACAUCUUUACCAUAUCACUCCAUCUUCUUAUGAUGCUUCACUUACAGUAUAAGAAUCUUGCAACAGUGUGCUUCUAUUUCUUCCUUCCUGGUCUUUGUGUUAUUGUUGCCACAGAUUUUAGUUCUCCAUGUACUAUAAGCCUCAUCCUACACUUUUUAUUUUUAUUCAGCCAACCUUUUUUUCUUAAAAAAAAAAAAAAAGAGGUUUGAAACGAAGAAAAUAAUCUUGUGCGUUAACCCAGUAUAGCCACCGUUUCCC